UAGGGAAUCUUCGGCAAUGGACGAAAGUCUGACCGAGCAACGCCGCGUGAGUGAAGAAGGUUUUCGGAUCGUAAAACUCUGUUGUUAGAGAAGAACAAUGACGUUAUUAACUGAACGUCCCCUGACGGUAUCUAACCAGAAAGCCACGGCUAACUACGUGCCAGCAGCCGCGGUAAUACGUAGGUGGCAAGCGUUGUCUGGAUUUAUUGGGCGUAAAGCGAGCGCAGGCGGUUUCUUAAGUCUGAUGUGAAAGCCCCCGGCUCAACCGGGGAGGGUCAUUGGAAACUGGGAGACUUGAGUGCGGAAGAGGAGAGUGGAAUUCCAUGUGUAGCGGUGAAAUGCGUAGAUAUAUGGAGGAACACCAGUGGCGAAGGCGGCUCUCUGGUCUGUAACUGACGCUGAGGCUCGAAAGCGUGGGGAGCAAACAGG
Molecule: ribosomal RNA, 429 nt
Filed under: Gemmatimonadota bacterium
Lineage: Bacteria; Pseudomonadati; Gemmatimonadota
Description: Gemmatimonadetes bacterium partial 16S ribosomal RNA
Rfam family: Bacterial small subunit ribosomal RNA
Source: RNAcentral